GAACGCUGGCGGCGUGCCUAACACAUGCAAGUCGAACGGAGUUAUGAUGUGAGCGGGAAGUGCUUGCACUAAACAAUCUUUUCAUAACUUAGUGGCGGACGGGUGAGUAACGCGUGGGUAACCUGCCCUGUACUGGGGGACAACAGUUGGAAACGACUGCUAAUACCGCAUAAGCGCACGGGAUCGCAUGAUCCAGUGUGAAAAACUCCGGUGGUACAGGAUGGACCCGCGUCUGAUUAGCUGGUUGGUGAGGUAACGGCCCACCAAGGCAACGAUCAGUAGCCGGCCUGAGAGGGUGAACGGCCACAUUGGGACUGAGACACGGCCCAAACUCCUACGGGAGGCAGCAGUGGGGAAUAUUGCACAAUGGGGGAAACCCUGAUGCAGCGACGCCGCGUGAGUGAAGAAGUAUUUCGGUAUGUAAAGCUCUAUCAGCAGGGAAGAAAAUGACGGUACCUGACUAAGAAGCCCCGGCUAACUACGUGCCAGCAGCCGCGGUAAUACGUAGGGGGCAAGCGUUAUCCGGAUUUACUGGGUGUAAAGGGAGCGUAGACGGCAUGGCAAGUCUGAAGUGAAAUGCGGGGGCUCAACCCCUGAACUGCUUUGGAAACUGUCAGGCUGGAGUGCAGGAGAGGUAAGUGGAAUUCCUAGUGUAGCGGUGAAAUGCGUAGAUAUUAGGAGGAACACCAGUGGCGAAGGCGGCUUACUGGACUGUAACUGACGUUGAGGCUCGAAAGCGUGGGGAGCAAACAGGAUUAGAUACCCUGGUAGUCCACGCCGUAAACGAUGAUUACUAGGUGUUGGGGAUUUAUAAAUCCCCGGUGCCGUCGCAAACGCAAUAAGUAAUCCACCUGGGGAGUACGUUCGCAAGAAUGAAACUCAAAGGAAUUGACGG
RNAcentral lists this ribosomal RNA (895 nucleotides) under uncultured bacterium. Its description in RNAcentral is "bacterial SSU rRNA". It matches the Rfam family "Bacterial small subunit ribosomal RNA", at positions 31 to 916 of the family's 1533-position model. The record is from RNAcentral.